Mycena galericulata is the source of this 95-nucleotide non-coding RNA. Lineage: Eukaryota; Fungi; Basidiomycota; Agaricomycetes; Agaricales; Mycenaceae. The record is from the annotation of a GenBank genome assembly.
GACCUCGUAGUAUAAUGGUAGUACGCCAUGCUAAUAUAAUUAUACCGGUUUCGUGUAUUCUCAUGAAGGUCUCAGUUCAAAUCUGAGCGGGGUCG